GAUGAACGCUGGCGGCGUGCUUAACACAUGCAAGUCGAACGAAGCCAAAAGGAAGCUUGCUUUCUUUGAAGCUUAGUGGCGGACGGGUGAGUAACGCGUGAGGAACCUGCCCUUCAGUGGGGAAUAACAGCCGGAAACGACUGCUAAUACCGCAUAACGUCGGAGUGCCGCAUGACACACCGACCAAAGGAUUUAUUCGCUGAAGGAUGGCCUCGCGUCCGAUUAGGCAGUUGGUGAGGUAACGGCCCACCAAACCUACGAUCGGUAGCCGAACUGAGAGGUUGAUCGGCCACAUUGGGACUGAGACACGGCCCAGACUCCUACGGGAGGCAGCAGUGGGGAAUAUUGGGCAAUGGGCGAAAGCCUGACCCAGCAACGCCGCGUGAAGGAAGACGGUCUUCGGAUUGUAAACUUCUUUGAUUGGGGAAGAACACAAUGACCUACCCAAAGAACAAGUCACGGCUAACUACGUGCCAGCAGCCGCGGUAAUACGUAGGUGACAAGCGUUAUCCGGAUUUACUGGGCGUAAAGGGCGUGUAGGCGGCCUUGCAAGUCAGAAGUGAAAUUCCCGGGCUCAACCCGGGCGCUGCUUCUGAAACUGUAGGGCUUGAGUGCUGGAGGGGAUAGCGGAAUUCCUAGUGGAGCGGUAAAAUGCGUAGAUAUUAGGAAGAACACCGGUGGCGAAGGCGGCUAUCUGGACAGUAACUGACGCUGAGGCGCGAAAGCGUGGGGAGCAAACA
RNAcentral lists this ribosomal RNA (740 nucleotides) under uncultured bacterium. RNAcentral describes it as "bacterial SSU rRNA". It matches the Rfam family "Bacterial small subunit ribosomal RNA", at positions 28 to 774 of the family's 1533-position model. The record is from RNAcentral.